Molecule: transfer RNA, 81 nt
Filed under: Caudoviricetes sp.
Lineage: Duplodnaviria; Heunggongvirae; Uroviricota; Caudoviricetes
Description: tRNA-OTHER
Source: RNAcentral
AGCCUUGCAAGUGGUUGAUUUACAAGAAUAGGACAUAAGUUUCCUAAACUUUAGAUAGGGGUUCGAUUCCCCUCGGGGCUA